UAAUUUAGCCACGUUCCUACAAAAUUCACGCUUCGCGAGAUACGUACAAGCACACGCGUCCAUCGAUUCGAUUCAACGUACGGAGAACGAAACGUACGUAAGUGUAGGAAUUACUCUACAAACUGGUUUCUAUAUCAUAAACGUAAACAACGAAAAAAUAUGUUUUUUAAAUAAACCUAUACGAACGUAUUUUACGUACGACGAACGUUUUUAUUUUUU
Bombus impatiens (common eastern bumble bee) is the source of this 219-nucleotide long non-coding RNA. RefSeq lists it as uncharacterized. NCBI's taxonomy places the organism in Eukaryota, Metazoa, Arthropoda, Insecta, Hymenoptera, Apidae. The record is from RefSeq and is a predicted model, not a curated record. The transcript has 4 exons.